GACGAACGCUGGCGGCGUGCUUAACACAUGCAAGUCGAACGGUGAAGGGACCAGCUUGCUGGUUCUGGAUGAGUGGCGAACGGGUGAGUAACACGUGAGUAACCUGCCCCCUUCUUCUGGAUAACCGCAUGAAAGCGUGGCUAAUACGGGAUAUUCUGGGUCUGUCGCAUGGCGGGCCCGGGAAAGAUAUUGCUUCGGUGGGGGAUGGGCUCGCGGCCUAUCAGCUUGUUGGUGGGGUGAUGGCCUACCAAGGCGGUGACGGGUAGCCGGCAUGAGAGGGUGGACGGUCAGACUGGGACUGAGACACGGCCUAGAAUGCUACGGGAGGCAGGAGUGGGGAAGAUUGCGCGAUGGGGGCAAGCCUGAUGCAGCGGCGCCGCGUGAGGGAGGGAGGCCUUCGGGUUGUAAACCUCUUUCGCAAGUGAAGCAGGCCUGCUCCUUGUGGGUGGGUUGACGGUAGCUGGAUAAGAAGCGCCGGCUAACUACGUG
This 489-nucleotide ribosomal RNA is filed under the name uncultured bacterium. RNAcentral's name for it is "partial 16S ribosomal RNA". It matches the Rfam family "Bacterial small subunit ribosomal RNA", at positions 28 to 507 of the family's 1533-position model. The record is from RNAcentral.